This 460-nucleotide ribosomal RNA is filed under the name uncultured bacterium. Its description in RNAcentral is "partial 16S ribosomal RNA". It matches the Rfam family "Bacterial small subunit ribosomal RNA", at positions 338 to 795 of the family's 1533-position model. The record is from RNAcentral.
CCUACGGGUCGCAGCAGUGAGGAAUAUUGGUCAAUGGACGAGAGUCUGAACCAGCCAAGUAGCGUGAACGAUGACUGCCCUAGGGGUUGUAAACUUCUUUUAUAUGGGAAUAAAAUGUUCCACGUGUGGGAUUUUGUAUGUACCAUAUGAAUAAGGAUCGGCUAACUCCGUGCCAGCAGCCGCGGUAAUACGGAGGAUCCGAGCGUUAUCCGGAUUUAUUGGGUUUAAAGGGAGCGUAGGUGGAUUGUUAAGUCAGUUGUGAAAGUUUGCGGCUCAACCGUAAAAUUGCAGUUGAAACUGGCAGUCUUGAGUACAGUAGAGGUGGGCGGAAUUCGUGGUGUAGCGGUGAAAUGCUUAGAUAUCACGAAGAACUCCGAUGGCGAAGGCAGUUCACUGGACUGCAACUGACACUGAGGCUCGAAAGUGUGGGUAUCAAACAGGAUUAGAUACCCGAGUAGUC